Molecule: small RNA, 105 nt
Filed under: Salmonella enterica
Lineage: Bacteria; Pseudomonadati; Pseudomonadota; Gammaproteobacteria; Enterobacterales; Enterobacteriaceae
Description: partial RtT sRNA
Rfam family: RtT RNA
About the family: This family represents a bacterial cis-regulatory element known as RtT RNA.
Source: RNAcentral
GUUUGCACUUAUCGGGGAAGGGUGAGAACCUUCGAUUAAGGUUCGACUCGAGCGAAAGCGAGAGAACGUUGCCAACGGCAACGGCCCGUAGGGUGAGGAGCGAAG